CCAUGAUUUAAAUAGUUCUGAUUUUUUUGUUUUCCUUUUAGCCUGCUGUCAGGCUGUGAUAACUCCAGUGCUAAUUGGCUACAUGAUUUGAAACUGCAUUUUCUAUAUCCUAUUUUUAGAGUGACAACAUGAGAAGUGACAAAUGAAGCAAUUGAUUUCAGGAAAAAAGAAGACACAUAGAUAGCAAAAAGGCAUAGAUCAAAUAGCAAAAAGACACCAAGUAUUAAAAUGAAAUUAAUACUCACCAUUUUAAAUGAAGCACCCACAUAAAUAAGGAUGAGUAGAGUUGAACUACACAGGAUCUGGACCAAGAUAGGAUUACUGAAUAUCUCAAGAACAAUCAAGAAUGUAAGAAAAUAUCAUUGUCUGUUAAGACUCCAUCGCAGAGAAGUUAAAGAGCUUCAAUCACCAUGCUUUCAGGGUCAAUUUGUCUCCGAAAAGGAACAGAUGGGGAAGAAUUAUUCCAUUCACAGUUGACUUGUCAGAAAUUCUAAGAUCUUGGACUGGCUGAAAGCAAUGAUGUUGCCAUUCAUCCUUUCACGUAUUCAUUAUGGUCUACAGCUGAGAAGGGCUAUUUGGGGUUUGCUUUGCCUGAUGGUAGCAGAAGAAAACCAAGAGGCCUCUCUACGAAAGCUUGCAGUAAGGAGAAAGGUAAAAUGUUAAGUCUAAAGAGAACCAAAGAAAUUACCUGGUCCAACCUUUUCAUUCUACAAGUGGGAAAACUUGCUGAAAGUUGCUUAAUUUUUCUGGAUCUGAGGCACACAGUUCAUUUAUUAU
This 777-nucleotide long non-coding RNA is filed under the name Pan troglodytes (chimpanzee). RNAcentral describes it as "lncRNA (ENSPTRG00000052950.1)". Lineage: Eukaryota; Metazoa; Chordata; Mammalia; Primates; Hominidae. The record is from RNAcentral.